Molecule: ribosomal RNA, 269 nt
Filed under: uncultured prokaryote
Description: partial 16S ribosomal RNA
Rfam family: Bacterial small subunit ribosomal RNA
Source: RNAcentral
UACGUAGGUGGCGAGCGUUGUCCGGAUUUACUGGGCGUAAAGGGAGCGUAGGCGGACUUUUAAGUGAGAUGUGAAAUACCCGGGCUCAACUUGGGUGCUGCAUUUCAAACUGGAAGUCUAGAGUGCAGGAGAGGAGAAUGGAAUUCCUAGUGUAGCGGUGAAAUGCGUAUAGAUUAGGAAGAACACCAGUGGCGAAGGCGAUUCUCUGUACUGUAACUGACGCUGAGGCUCGAAAGCGUGGGGAGCAAACAGGAUUAGAUACCCGCGUA